UACGGAGGAUUCGAGCGUUAUCCGGAUUUAUUGGGUUUAAAGGGAGCGUAGAUGGAUGUUUAAGUCAGUUGUGAAAGUUUGCGGCUCAACCGUAAAAUUGCAGUUGAUACUGGAUGUCUUGAGUGCAGUUGAGGCAGGCGGAAUUCGUGGUGUAGCGGUGAAAUGCUUAGAUAUCACGAAGAACUCCGAUUGCGAAGGCAGCCUGCUAAGCUGCAACUGACAUUGAGGCUCGAAAGUGUGGGUAUCAAACAGG
This 253-nucleotide ribosomal RNA is filed under the name Phocaeicola dorei DSM 17855. RNAcentral describes it as "partial 16S ribosomal RNA". It matches the Rfam family "Bacterial small subunit ribosomal RNA", at positions 524 to 776 of the family's 1533-position model. The record is from RNAcentral. Lineage: Bacteria; Pseudomonadati; Bacteroidota; Bacteroidia; Bacteroidales; Bacteroidaceae.